RNAcentral lists this transfer RNA (85 nucleotides) under Escherichia coli. RNAcentral's name for it is "tRNA-Tyr". It matches the Rfam family "tRNA". From Rfam's summary of the family: Transfer RNA (tRNA) molecules are approximately 80 nucleotides in length. Their secondary structure includes four short double-helical elements and three loops (D, anti-codon, and T loops). Further hydrogen bonds mediate the characteristic L-shaped molecular structure. tRNAs have two regions of fundamental functional importance: the anti-codon, which is responsible for specific mRNA codon recognition, and the 3' end, to which the tRNAs corresponding amino acid is attached (by aminoacyl-tRNA synthetases). tRNAs cope with the degeneracy of the genetic code in two manners: having more than one tRNA (with a specific anti-codon) for a particular amino acid; and 'wobble' base-pairing, i.e. permitting non-standard base-pairing at the 3rd anti-codon position. Lineage: Bacteria; Pseudomonadati; Pseudomonadota; Gammaproteobacteria; Enterobacterales; Enterobacteriaceae. The record is from RNAcentral.
GGUGGGGUUCCCGAGCAGCCAAAGGGAGCAGACUGUAGAUCUGCCGUCAUCGACUCCGAAGGUUCGAAUCCUUCCCCCACCACCA